Salvia hispanica is the source of this 605-nucleotide long non-coding RNA. RefSeq lists it as uncharacterized. NCBI's taxonomy places the organism in Eukaryota, Viridiplantae, Streptophyta, Magnoliopsida, Lamiales, Lamiaceae. The record is from RefSeq and is a predicted model, not a curated record.
UUCCCAUCAUCGAGUCAAAAACAGUCACGAAAUUCAGAAUCGAAGUUGCAUCUCUACCUAGACGUUCCGAUGUUUUCCAUCUAAAUUUACUCGUACAUUAAUCCAUUCCUAAACUCUGUUCAUUCAAAUCCAGUUUGUUUUAAAUGGCUAAAUCCCAGCCCCAUUUUGAAACUCACGACAACUGACAGCGUUGUAACGUUUGGAAACGACCUCAAUUUCAGAUGCUCUAUAAGUAACUAGUGCAACUCUUGCAAUGCAUACUAUAAACAACAGUCCCACUAGAAAAAAAUGAAUCAUUUGUAAACUCUAUCAGGAACCGUUCUAGAAUGACUUAGUAUUUUUAUUCCAACGGCAACUAAGAAGCGGCGGAAGCACGGACUGACUCAAUCUAAGGGUGAAAACAUUCCAACGAGAGAAAAGGAAAGAAAAUUACUACAUUUCUGAGAAUUCUUCUCAAUGAUUUUUUAGUCUGAUUGCAAGGUUAACAACUUAUAUCAGCGUACCCUAAACAUGGAAGUACGAUGGUGUUAUAUAUGUAAAAUGGAUACAAUCGUUUUUUUCUAGAUGGUUUUGAUAUUUUAGGCUAGAUGUUACUACGUUUUGGA